RNAcentral lists this ribosomal RNA (497 nucleotides) under uncultured bacterium. RNAcentral's name for it is "partial 16S ribosomal RNA". It matches the Rfam family "Bacterial small subunit ribosomal RNA", at positions 28 to 507 of the family's 1533-position model. The record is from RNAcentral.
GAUGAACGCUGGCGGCGUGCCUAAUACAUGCAAGUCGAGCGAACGGACGAGAAGCUUGCUUCUCUGAUGUUAGCGGCGGACGGGUGAGUAACACGUGGAUAACCUACCUAUAAGACUGGGAUAACUUCGGGAAACCGGAGCUAAUACCGGAUGAUAUUUUGAACCGCAUGGUUCAAAAGUGAAAGACGGUCUUGCUGUCACUUAUAGAUGGAUCCGCGCUGCAUUAGCUAGUUGGUAAGGUAACGGCUUACCAAGGCAACGAUGCAUAGCCGACCUGAGAGGGUGAUCGGCCACACUGGAACUGAGACGCGGUCCAGACUCCUACGGGAGGCAGCAGUAGGGAAUCGUCCGCAAUGGGCGAAAGCCUGACGGAGCAACGCCGCGUGAGUGAUGAAGGUCUUCGGAUCGUAAAACUCUGUUAUUAGGGAAGAACAUAUGUGUAAGUAACUGUGCACAUCUUGACGGUACCUAAUCAGAAAGCCACGGCUAACUACGUG